CAUAGCGUAGCUUAAACCUAAAGCAUCUGGCUUACACCCAGAAGAAUCCACAAUAUGGACGCUCUGA
Molecule: transfer RNA, 67 nt
Filed under: Sigmodon hispidus (hispid cotton rat)
Lineage: Eukaryota; Metazoa; Chordata; Mammalia; Rodentia; Cricetidae
Description: tRNA-Val
Rfam family: tRNA
About the family: Transfer RNA (tRNA) molecules are approximately 80 nucleotides in length. Their secondary structure includes four short double-helical elements and three loops (D, anti-codon, and T loops).
Source: RNAcentral